UACGAAGGGUGCAAACGUUGUUCGGAUUUACUGGGCGUAAAGGGCGCGUAGGCGGCCUCCGCAAGUCAGUUGUGAAAUCUCCGGGCUUAACCCGGAAAGGUCAACUGAUACUGCGGGGCUAGAGUGCAGAAGGGGCAACCGGAAUUCUCGGUGUAGCGGUGAAAUGCGUAGAUAUCGAGAGGAACACCUGCGGCGAAGGCGGGUUGCUGGGCUGACACUGACGCUGAAGCGCGAAAGCUAGGGGAGCGAACGGG
This 254-nucleotide ribosomal RNA is filed under the name uncultured bacterium. RNAcentral's name for it is "partial 16S ribosomal RNA". It matches the Rfam family "Bacterial small subunit ribosomal RNA", at positions 524 to 776 of the family's 1533-position model. The record is from RNAcentral.